AGCUUUGCGCAGUGGCAGCAUCGGAGCCACAGACGUUUAUCGGAGGUGCGAUUAUUGCUAAUUGAAACAAUCCGAAGUACAUAGUUUAAGGAAUAGUAAUAUACUACUGUGUAUUUCAUAGUUUUGACAAAU
Molecule: small nuclear RNA, 132 nt
Filed under: Otolemur garnettii (small-eared galago)
Lineage: Eukaryota; Metazoa; Chordata; Mammalia; Primates; Galagidae
Description: U4 spliceosomal RNA
Rfam family: U4 spliceosomal RNA
About the family: U4 small nuclear RNA (U4 snRNA) is a component of the major U2-dependent spliceosome. The structure of U4 snRNA from yeast and human has been reported. U4 snRNA presents a k-turn RNA motif in the 5p-SL related to recognition of Snu13 protein.
Source: Rfam by way of RNAcentral